CACGUAGUUAGCCGGUGCUUCUUCUGCAGGUACCGUCACUUUCGCUUCUUCCCUGCUGAAAGGGGUUUACAACCCGAAGGCCGUCAUCCCCCACGCGGCGUCGCUGCAUCAGGCUUUCGCCCAUUGUGCAAUAUUCCCCACUGCUGCCUCCCGUAGGAGUCUGGGCCGUGUCUCAGUCCCAGUGUGGCCGGUCGCCCUCUCAGGCCGGCUACCCGUCGUCGCCUUGGUGAGCCGUUACCUCACCAACUAGCUGAUAGGCCGCGAGUCCAUCCCAGACCGAAAAACUUUCCACACGAUAGAGAUGCCUCUUCGUGUCGUAUCCGGUAUUAGCUCCGGUUUCCCGGGGUUAUCCCAGAGUCUGGGGCAGGUUACUCACGUGUUACUCACCCGUUCGCCACUGAUCGCCCGGAGCAAGCUCCGAGGUCACCGUUCGACUUGCAUGUGUUAAGCACGCCGCCAGCGUCGUCCUGAGCCAGGAUCAAACUCU
This 487-nucleotide ribosomal RNA is filed under the name uncultured Intrasporangiaceae bacterium. RNAcentral's name for it is "partial 16S ribosomal RNA". The record is from RNAcentral. Lineage: Bacteria; Bacillati; Actinomycetota; Actinomycetes; Micrococcales; Intrasporangiaceae.